Non-coding RNA from Hydra vulgaris (swiftwater hydra), 100 nucleotides. Lineage: Eukaryota; Metazoa; Cnidaria; Hydrozoa; Anthoathecata; Hydridae. The record is from RefSeq and is a predicted model, not a curated record.
GAAAAUUACAUUUUUUAUCUGAAGAGAGUUGGGAGAAAUGUUCAUAUUGAAACGAGAUAUUGUGUAAAGAGGUUUUCAAAGAAGUCGUUUUAAUAACAAU